This is a long non-coding RNA of Sinocyclocheilus rhinocerous, 542 nucleotides long. RefSeq lists it as uncharacterized. Lineage: Eukaryota; Metazoa; Chordata; Actinopteri; Cypriniformes; Cyprinidae. The transcript is spliced from 5 exons. The record is from RefSeq and is a predicted model, not a curated record.
AAAAACACACACAGAUAAGUCCAUAAUCCUGACAAUAUCAUGUACACGAAUCUGGGCACUGAGACAUUAAUCCUGACAGCAUGCUGACGGCGGACGAUCACGUGUGAUUGCCUGAUUUUGGCUCCUGUCUCUGGCUGGAGGAUGAUGGACUGCUGAUGUUUGCGCUAGCGGCAACUGUCACAAUAGAAGAAGAGCACAGACAGUUAUCUUCCAAAACGGGUGUUUAUUAACAGAUGGGCAGAAACACAAGCAGGUGCAGGAGGACAGAACGAAGAAGACCGAAGACUGUCGAGUGCUUAUGUAGGAGUCCUUGAUGAGCUGGUGCAGCUGAUCAGAAUUCAGUAAGCUGCUGUGUUUUGGGUGUUCUGGAGCACUAUGGCUGCCGUCUCGUCGUCCAGGUGGUGCUGCACGCUGAUGAGGAGAUCCAACCUCACAAUGUAAAGCACUUCGAGUGUCUAGAAAAGCACUAUAUAAAUGUAACAAAUUAUUAUUAUGAAGAGCAGUAAUAAAUUGUUCAUUUGUGUAAAAACUAGCUCAUUUGU